Molecule: ribosomal RNA, 504 nt
Filed under: uncultured bacterium
Lineage: Bacteria
Description: partial 16S ribosomal RNA
Source: RNAcentral
GGAGUUAGCCGGUGCUUCUUCUGUGAGUGAUGUCCUUCCUGCCGGCUAUUAACCCGCAGGCCUUCUUCCUCACUGAAAGUGCUUUACAACCCGAAGGCCUUCUUCACACACGCGGCAUGGCUGGAUCAGGGUUGCCCCCAUUGUCCAAUAUUCCCCACUGCUGCCUCCCGUAGGAGUCUGGGCCGUGUCUCAGUCCCAGUGUGGCUGAUCAUCCUCUCAGACCAGCUACGGAUCGUCGCCUUGGUGAGCCGUUACCUCACCAACCAGCUAAUCCGACAUAGGCUCAUCCGAUAGCGCGAGGCCCGAAGGUCCCCCGCUUUCCCCCGUAGGGCGUAUGCGGUAUUAGCCUGGGUUUCCCCAGGUUAUCCCCCACUACCGGGCAGAUUCCUAUGCAUUACUCACCCGUCCGCCGCUCGCCACCAGGGAGCAAGCUCCCCGUGCUGCCGCUCGACUUGCAUGUGUAGCUCGCCGCCACGCGUCAUCUGAGCGAGAUACAACUACUGA